Actibacterium mucosum KCTC 23349 is the source of this 52-nucleotide small RNA. It matches the Rfam family "ffh sRNA". The record is from Rfam. NCBI's taxonomy places the organism in Bacteria, Pseudomonadati, Pseudomonadota, Alphaproteobacteria, Rhodobacterales, Roseobacteraceae.
CUAUGCAGGGAUCGCCCCCCGUCAGCGCGUUGCGCCCACGGGGGAGAUUGGC